This 394-nucleotide ribosomal RNA is filed under the name Isaurus tuberculatus. RNAcentral's name for it is "partial 16S ribosomal RNA". It matches the Rfam family "Bacterial large subunit ribosomal RNA", at positions 1914 to 2307 of the family's 2925-position model. The record is from RNAcentral. Lineage: Eukaryota; Metazoa; Cnidaria; Anthozoa; Zoantharia; Zoanthidae.
UAAGGACAAUUGAAUGGCCGCGGUAACACUGACCGUGAUAAUGUAGCGUAAUCAAUAGCCAAUUAAUUGUUGGCCAGUAUGAAUGGCGCCACGAAGGCCCCACUGUCUUAAGGAAAUUCCCAGUGAAAUUGAAUUCGUAGUGAAGAUGCUACGUGCAAUUUGUUAGACGAAAAGACCCCGUUGAGCUUUACUGGAGCACUUACAUGGCCCUGGCCUUCCCAUGCUUGGGAAUCGGCCGAAUUUAAAUGGGCGGCUUAGAUUAUGUGGCAGCCCCCCGCUGGGGCAAAUGAAACCCCACUCCCCCAUGUCAAAGGGGCUAACCCCCCCCCUUGGGGGGACAGUGUAAGUAGGACAGUUUGGUUGGGGCGACCGCCUUUUAAAGAGUAACGAAGGU